RNAcentral lists this ribosomal RNA (1824 nucleotides) under Planktothrix agardhii. RNAcentral describes it as "bacterial SSU rRNA". The stretch from base 1 to 1466 matches the Rfam family "Bacterial small subunit ribosomal RNA". Lineage: Bacteria; Bacillati; Cyanobacteriota; Cyanophyceae; Oscillatoriales; Microcoleaceae. The record is from RNAcentral.
GAUGAACGCUGGCGGUCUGCUUAACACAUGCAAGUCGAACGGAAUCCUUAGGGAUUUAGUGGCGGACGGGUGAGUAACACGUAAGAACCUGCCUCUAGGACGGGGACAACAGUUGGAAACGACUGCUAAACCCGGAUGAGCCGAAAGGUAAAAGAUUAAUCGCCUAGAGAGGGGCUUGCGUCUGAUUAGCUAGUUGGUGAGGUAAGAGCCCACCAAGGCGACGAUCAGUAGCUGGUCUGAGAGGAUGAUCAGCCACACUGGGACUGAGACACGGCCCAGACUCCUACGGGAGGCAGCAGUGGGGAAUUUUCCGCAAUGGGCGAAAGCCUGACGGAGCAAGACCGCGUGGGGGAGGAAGGUUCUUGGAUUGUCAACCCCUUUUCUCAGGGAAGAACACAAUGACGGUACCUGAGGAAAAAGCAUCGGCUAACUCCGUGCCAGCAGCCGCGGUAAUACGGGGGAUGCAAGCGUUAUCCGGAAUGAUUGGGCGUAAAGAGUCCGUAGGUAGUCAUCCAAGUCUGCUGUUAAAGAGCGAGGCUUAACCUCGUAAAGGCAGUGGAAACUGGAAGACUAGAGUGUAGUAGGGGCAGAGGGAAUUCCUGGUGUAGCGGUGAAAUGCGUAGAGAUCAGGAAGAACACCGGUGGCGAAGGCGCUCUGCUGGGCUAUAACUGACACUGAGGGACGAAAGCUAGGGGAGCGAAUGGGAUUAGAUACCCCAGUAGUCCUAGCGGUAAACGAUGGAAACUAGGUGUGGCCUGUAUCGACCCGGGCCGUGCCGAAGCAAACGCGUUAAGUUUCCCGCCUGGGGAGUACGCACGCAAGUGUGAAACUCAAAGGAAUUGACGGGGGCCCGCACAAGCGGUGGAGUAUGUGGUUUAAUUCGAUGCAACGCGAAGAACCUUACCAGGACUUGACAUCUCUGGAAUCUCCUUGAAAGGGGAGAGUGCCGUAAGGAACCAGAAGACAGGUGCUGCAUGGCUGUCGUCAGCUCGUGUCGUGAGAUGUUGGGUUAAGUCCCGCAACGAGCGCAACCCUCGUCGUUAGUUGCCAUCAUUAAGUUGGGAACUCUAGCGAGACUGCCGGUGACAAACCGGAGGAAGGUGAGGAUGACGUCAAGUCAGCAUGGCCCUUACGUCCUGGGCGACACACGUACUACAAUGCGAGGGACACAGAGCAGCCAACCCGCGAGGGAGAGCGAAUCUCACAAACCCUGGCACAGUUCAGAUUGCAGGCUGCAACUCGCCUGCAUGAAGGAGGAAUCGCUAGUAAUCGCAGGUCAGCAUACUGCGGUGAAUCCGUUCCCGGGCCUUGUACACACCGCCCGUCACACCAUGGAAGUGAGCCACGCCCGAAGUCAUUACUCUAACCCUUUCGGGGGAGGAGGGUGCCGAAGGCGGGGUUGAUGACUGGGGUGAAGUCGUAACAAGGUAGCCGUACCGGAAGGUGUGGCUGGAUCACCUCCUUUUAGGGAGACCUACUUUUGAGUAGAGUGCCAAAUCCAACAAAAAUAGCACCAUCAAAAGUCAUCCCAGGUCGUUACGAGAAAAAUGAAAAACACAACAACAGCUUUCAAACUCGGAAGUCCGGUUCAAAACCUAGGACAAUUCAGCACCUAGCUUCAAUCAAAAAAAAGCCAGAAUGCUGGACUAACAAGUCCAGACAGAACCUUGAAAAUUGCAGAGAAACAAAAACUGGCAGUAGUUCGUAGUUAGAACUUUGAGCCAUGGGAAGGGAAACCAACCCAAAAGCCAAAGAGAUAACCACAAACAAAAAAACAGAAACAAAGUUAAGUGGUCAAGAUAGAAAGGGCUGACGGUGGAAAC